RNAcentral lists this ribosomal RNA (216 nucleotides) under Glomeromycotina sp. RNAcentral describes it as "partial small subunit ribosomal RNA". The stretch from base 40 to 216 matches the Rfam family "Eukaryotic small subunit ribosomal RNA", at positions 686 to 864 of the family's 1831-position model. The record is from RNAcentral. Lineage: Eukaryota; Fungi; Glomeromycota.
GGGUCAGUAGGUUGGUCGUGCCACCGGUACGUACUGGUCUCACUGAUUCCUCCUUCCUGAAGAACCGUAAUGCCAUUAAUUUGGUGUUGCGGGGAAACAGGACUGUUACUUUGAAAAAAUUAGAGUGUUUAAAGCAAGCUAACGCUUGAAUACAUCAGCAUAGAAUAAUGAAAUAGGACGAUCGAUCCUAUUUUGUUGGUUUCUAGGAUUGACGUA